CUGACAUGCGUGCGAGUCGACGGGUUCUGAAACCUGGGAUGCGCAAGGAAGCUGACGAGCGGGAGGCCCUCACGGGCCGCACCGCUGGCCGACCCUGAUCUUCUGUGAAGGGUUCGAGUUGGAGCACGCCUGUCGGGACCCGAAAGAUGGUGAACUAUGCCUGAGCGGGGCGAAGCCAGAGGAAACUCUGGUGGAGGCUCGAAGCGAUACUGACGUGCAAAUCGUUCGUCUGACUUGGGUAUAGGGGCGAAAGACUAAUCGAACCAUCUAGUAGCUGG
This 278-nucleotide non-coding RNA is filed under the name Triticum aestivum (bread wheat). RNAcentral describes it as "rRNA LSU_rRNA_eukarya". It matches the Rfam family "Eukaryotic large subunit ribosomal RNA", at positions 675 to 954 of the family's 3401-position model. RNAcentral also lists the same sequence under 2 other names. Lineage: Eukaryota; Viridiplantae; Streptophyta; Magnoliopsida; Poales; Poaceae. The record is from Rfam by way of RNAcentral.